Molecule: long non-coding RNA, 321 nt
Organism: Argiope bruennichi
Lineage: Eukaryota; Metazoa; Arthropoda; Arachnida; Araneae; Araneidae
Exons: 3
Source: RefSeq, a predicted model, not a curated record
CCAAUGGAUUUACCAUUGAACUGUACAAUGUAUAAAAGGACCAAGCUACAAUAUUUCUUCACAGAUUUGCUUUGCAAUAAUCUUCAACAAACGCCUUAGAAAAUGCUAUCUGCCACUCAAGUCUUCGCAGCUGUCGCCUUGUUGGGCAUGCUCGCUUAUGCUGCUGCUGACCCAAAUGUGUUUGACGACAUCGAAACUGGCUUGAACCAUAUUAUUGGACACGACAAAAAUCAUAACUAAUGUGAUGAUUCUUUCCACAAUAUUUAGUUGUAGAGAAUUUAUUGGAAUGCAAUAAAACAAUAAAUCAUCUUUGAUGAAUAA